Dreissena polymorpha is the source of this 796-nucleotide long non-coding RNA. RefSeq lists it as uncharacterized. NCBI's taxonomy places the organism in Eukaryota, Metazoa, Mollusca, Bivalvia, Myida, Dreissenidae. The record is from RefSeq and is a predicted model, not a curated record. The transcript has 3 exons.
AGUAGUAGUAGUAGUAGUAGUAGUAGUAGGUAGUUGUUGUUGUUGUUGUGGCUGUUGUAAUAGUAGUAGUAGUUUUGCAGAAGUAGUAGUAGUAGUAGUAGUACUAGUAGUAGAAGUAAUAGUAGUAACUUUCAAAGCAAUGUCUACAAGUUUAAAUUCCUUAACCCUGUUCAAGGUGUAUACACACUCAAUAUUUAACUACAGUCCAGGUUUGCAAUUAACAAACUAUCUGAGGUGCCUGUGUGUGAGUCAGAUGUGUCUGCGGCUAAUCUAUUGGUUAUAAAAUAUCACAGCCUUUUCUGAUUGGCUGAGUUCAAAUACAGAAAGUUUACCUGUUAGAUUGAAAUUCUGGAGAAGGCGUAUUGAAGAAAAAAUGCAGGUUAAACUUGUUGUUAAAAUGAAGUUAAUGUAAUUUCACAAACAGUAGAGUUUAACUUAAUGAGUUUUUCCAUUAACAAGAAUUUCUUAAAAUAAUAAUGUAUGGAUAUCAUUUGGAAAGUGACAUGAAAUGUUGUUAAAAAGUGAUGCAUACAAGUGUUUCAGAAGUCUGUCUAGGAAUAGAACAACAACUGAAGCUGACCAGUUGAUGGAAGAUACUGCAGAGUUUGGCAGGGAAAUAACCCAAGACAGCAAAGCGGCUCUUUUGGCGCAUUUACCAAGAGGACUAACAUGGCCACAAAUUCAUGAGAUCAUGCAGGAGCCGUACAGUAUAACAGCAGUACAAGUUCUAUAAAAGAUCCACGACCUACUGAAUUCCCAGCUAAUUAACAAAAAAGUUUUUAAAAACUGUAAUUUU